Molecule: ribosomal RNA, 228 nt
Filed under: uncultured bacterium
Lineage: Bacteria
Description: partial 16S ribosomal RNA
Rfam family: Bacterial small subunit ribosomal RNA
Source: RNAcentral
UAACGCGUGGGUGACGUACCUGUUGGUGGGGAAUAACUGCCCGAAAGGGUGGCUAAUUCCGCAUAAGUCCUUUGAUUCGAGUUGAAGGGAAAGUUUCUUGCAAGAGAGACGCCGAUGGAGCGGCCCGCGUCCGAUUAGCUGGUUGGUGGGGUAACGGCCUACCAAGGCGACGAUCGGUAGCUGGUCUUAGAGGAUGAUCAGCCAGACUGGGACUGAGACACGGCCCAG